ACUGGCAACAAUAGCGUUGUAGUACCACCUGAUCCCAUGCCGAACUCAGAAGUGAAAUGCAACCGCGCCGAUGGUAGUGUGGGAGGUCCCAUGUGAGAGUAGGUCAUUGCCAGUU
Molecule: ribosomal RNA, 115 nt
Filed under: Thalassotalea sp. LPB0316
Lineage: Bacteria; Pseudomonadati; Pseudomonadota; Gammaproteobacteria; Alteromonadales; Colwelliaceae
Source: RNAcentral